GGUUUCUUGUAAAUAUAUAGGAGAUUUGGCCUGCCCACUGAAAUGAAUUUGAAGGGCCGCGGUAUUUUGACUGUGCGAAGGUAGCGUAAUCAUUAGUCUUUUAAUUGAAGGCUGGUAUGAAUGGUUAGACGAGGUGAAAGCUGUUUUAUAGUAAAUGAAAUAUUGAAGUUGGAAUUUAAGUAAAAAAACUUAAGUAAUAUUAAGGGACGAGAAGACCCUAUAGAGUUUUAUAAAUAUAAGUUAUAGUAAGGUUAAUUAAAAAUGGUAUUUAUUAUAAUUUAUAUUUAUUUGAUUGGGGCGAUUAGAAGAUAAAUAAAACUCUUUUUUGUAUUUUAUACUUGUUAGUAAAUUUAAGAUCCAUUAAAAUUAAUAAUGAUUGGAAGAUAAAAUUACCUUAGGGAUAACAGCAUAAUUUUUCUUGAGAGUUCUUAUCAAGAGAGAAGAUUGUGACCUCGAUGUUGGAUUAAGAUGAAAGCUGGGUGUAGAUGUUUAGCGUUUUAGGUCUGUUCGACCUUUAAAAUCUUACA
RNAcentral lists this ribosomal RNA (527 nucleotides) under Oligonicella punctulata. RNAcentral's name for it is "partial 16S ribosomal RNA". It matches the Rfam family "Bacterial large subunit ribosomal RNA", at positions 1825 to 2600 of the family's 2925-position model. The record is from RNAcentral. Lineage: Eukaryota; Metazoa; Arthropoda; Insecta; Mantodea; Thespidae.